GUUAGGAAUAUUGGACAAUGGGCGAAAGCCUGAUCCAGCCAUGCCGCGUGAACGAUGAAGGCCUUCGGGUUGUAAAGUUCUUUAGCCGAUGAUUAUAAUGACUGUAGUUGGAAAAUAAGCCCCGGCUAACUUCGUGCCAGCAGCCGCGGUAAUACGAAGGGGGCGAGCGUUAUUCGGAAUCACUGGGCGUAAAGCGUGCGUAGGCGGUUUUGUAAGUUAGGAGUGAAAGCCCAGGGCUCAACCUUGGAAUUGCUCUUAAAACUGCAAGGCUCGAAUCUCGGAGAGGAUAGCGGAAUUUCCAGUGUAGCAGUGAAAUGCGUAGAUAUUGGAAGGAACACCAGUGGCGUAAGCGGCUAUCUGGACGAGUAUUGACGCUGAGGCACGAAAGCGUGGGGAUCAAACAGGAUUAGAAACCCUUGUAGUCC
This 425-nucleotide ribosomal RNA is filed under the name uncultured bacterium. Its description in RNAcentral is "partial 16S ribosomal RNA". It matches the Rfam family "Bacterial small subunit ribosomal RNA", at positions 354 to 796 of the family's 1533-position model. The record is from RNAcentral.